UCGUUGUGCAAAUCGACC
This 18-nucleotide unclassified non-coding RNA is filed under the name Mus musculus (house mouse). RNAcentral describes it as "oocyte_clustered_small_RNA4333". The record is from RNAcentral. Lineage: Eukaryota; Metazoa; Chordata; Mammalia; Rodentia; Muridae.